RNAcentral lists this ribosomal RNA (414 nucleotides) under Triticum aestivum (bread wheat). RNAcentral describes it as "partial small subunit ribosomal RNA". The record is from RNAcentral. Lineage: Eukaryota; Viridiplantae; Streptophyta; Magnoliopsida; Poales; Poaceae.
AUGACUGAUUUGGGUUCUCUUCGCUACUUUCUUGGACUUGAGAUCAUUUCUUCCCCUGAGGGUAUUUAUCUCUCUCAAGAGAAGUACAUCCACGAUCUUCUCACUCGUGCCUGCCUCACUGAUCAACGCACGGUUGACACUCCUAUGGAGUUUGGUCUCCAUCUUCGUCCUGGUGAGGGUGAACCCCUUGCAGAUGCCACACACUACCGCCAUCUUGUUGGGAGCCUUGUCUAUCUAGGCAUCACUCGUCCUAACAUUUCUUAUGCUGUGCACAUUCUGAGUCAGUUUGUCUCUGCUCCCACUCAACUUCACUACAGUCACCUUCUUCGUGUUCUUCGUUACCUUCUGUGGUACUGUGACUCGUCGCUUAUUCUUCCCUCGCUCCAGCUCUCUUCAGCUUCAGGCCUACUGUGA